UACAGGGGGUGCAAACGUUGCUCGGAAUUAUUGGGCGUAAAGCGCGCGUAGGCGGCCACUUAAGUCGGAUGUGAAAGCCCCUGGCUCAACUGGGGAAGUGCACCCGAAACUGAAUGACUUGAGUGCGAAAGAGGGUCGCGGAAUUCCCGGUGUAGAGGUGAAAUUCGUAGAUAUCGGGAGGAACACCGGUGGCGAAGGCGGCGACCUGGGUCGACACUGACGCUGAGGCGCGAAAGCGUGGGGAGCGAACCGG
RNAcentral lists this ribosomal RNA (253 nucleotides) under uncultured bacterium. RNAcentral's name for it is "partial 16S ribosomal RNA". It matches the Rfam family "Bacterial small subunit ribosomal RNA", at positions 524 to 776 of the family's 1533-position model. The record is from RNAcentral.